AGCAGCCGCGGUAAUUCCAGCUCCAAUAGCGUAUAUUAAAGUUGUUGCAGUUAAAAAGCUCGUAGUUGAAUUUCGGGAUCAGUACGCCGGUCGUGCCUUCGGUAUGUACUGGUGUCACUGAUUCCUCCCUUCUGAAGAACCGUUAUGCCAUUCAUUUGGUGUGACGGGGAAUCAGGACUGUUACUUUGAAAAAAUUAGAGUGUUUAAAGCAGGCUCGCGCUUGAAUACAUUAGCAUGGAAUAAUGAAAUAGGACGUUUGAUCUUAUUUUGUUGGUUUCUAGGAUCGACGUAAUGAUUAAUAGGGAUAGUUGGGGGCAUUAGUAUUCAAUUGUCAGAGGUGAAAUUCUUGGAUUUAUUGAAGACUAACUACUGCGAAAGCAUUUGCCAAGGAUGUUUUCAUUAAUCAAGAACGAAAGUUAGGGGAUCGAAGACGAUCAGAUACCGUCGUAGUCUUAACCAUAAACUAUGCCGACUAGGGAUCGGAUGAUGUUAUUUUUAAUGACUCAUUUGGACG
Molecule: ribosomal RNA, 514 nt
Filed under: uncultured Glomus
Lineage: Eukaryota; Fungi; Glomeromycota; Glomeromycetes; Glomerales; Glomeraceae
Description: SSU rRNA
Rfam family: Eukaryotic small subunit ribosomal RNA
Source: RNAcentral